UUUCCCGCCCUCCAGACGGCGCCGGCCGCCGCGGCGGACGGAAGCUCCGGCUCUCGCCGAUCUCCAUAGGGAAACAAGGGCCGUUUUUAGGCCUCUCACACUCCAAAAGCGGCCCCCGAACCCCAUUGCCGCCAUGCUGUCCCGCUUCCGCCUGUCCCUCCGCCGCUGUGUGCACACCAGGGAGAAGGGGAAACCCCUCAUGCUGAACCCCCGCACCAACAAGGGCAUGGCCUUCACCCUAUUGGAACGGCAGAUGUUGGGCCUGCAAGGCCUCCUCCCCCCCAAAAUCGAAACCCAGGACAUCCAGGCCUUACGCUUCCACAAGAACAUGGCCAAGAUGAGCGACCCCCUGCAAAAGUAUAUUUACAUCAUGGGCAUCCAGGAGAGGAACGAGAAGCUCUUCUACCGCGUCCUGCAGGACGACAUCGAGAGGUUGAUGCCGGUUGUUUAUACGCCAACGGUCGGCCUCGCUUGCUCCCAAUACGGCCAUAUCUUCCGCAGGCCCAAAGGUUUGUUCAUCUCCAUCUCGGAUCGCGGCCACAUCCGAUCCAUCGUCAACAACUGGCCUGAAAACGACGUCAAGGCCGUCGUCGUCACCGACGGCGAACGCAUUUUGGGCCUGGGCGACCUGGGGGUUUAUGGGAUGGGAAUCCCGGUGGGGAAGCUCUGCCUUUACACCGCCUGCGCCGGGAUUCACCCCCACAAAUGUCUGCCUGUCUGCAUCGACGUCGGCACCGACAACACCAGCCUCUUAAAGGACCCCUUCUAUAUGGGCCUGUACCAAAAACGCGACCGCUCUCCGGCCUACGACGCCUUGAUCGACGAAUUCAUGGAGGCCAUCACAGACAGAUACGGGCAGAACACCUUGAUUCAGUUUGAGGACUUCGGGAACCACAACGCUUUCCGCUUCCUCCGGAAGUACAGGGAGAAGUACUGUACCUUUAACGAUGACAUUCAAGGCACCGCCGCCGUCGCCUUGGCCGGCCUUUUAGCGGCCCAGAAAUCAACGGGAAAACCAUUGGCCCAACACAAGAUCCUGUUCCUCGGCGCCGGUGAGGCGGCGUUGGGGAUCGCCAACCUCAUCGUUAUGGCCAUGGUGGAGAACGGGGUGCCGGUGGACGAGGCGCGACGGAGGAUUUGGAUGUACGACAAACACGGCCUGGUCCUCCAGGGCCGCAAAGAAAAGGUGGAUUCCAACCAGGAACCCUUCGCCCACCCGUCGCCGGGCUCCGUCCCGCGGUCCUUCGAGGAGGCUGUGACGUCACUGAAGCCCUCGGCUCUCAUUGGUGUAGCAGGCGCCGGAAGGCUCUUCACUCCUUCAGUCCUCCACAAGAUGGCCGCCAUCAACGACCGUCCAAUCAUCUUCGCCCUCAGCAACCCCACAGCCAAAGCUGAGUGUACGGCCGAAGAGGCCUACACCCUCACAGAGGUAAGAUGCAUUCUGGGAUACCUGAGGUCCUCCAAGAGGCCUUUUAGGGUGUCGGAGGUCCUCCAAGGUGGAUUCUGGGAUAUCUAAGGUCCUCCAAGGUGGAUUCUGGGGUAUCUGAGGUCCUCCAAGAGGCCUUUUGGGGUCUUGGAGGUCCUCCAAGAUUGCUUUUAGGGUCUUGUAGGGUUUUUUGGGGGUCUUUUAGGGUCUUUUGGGGCCUUUUAGGGUCUUAUGGGGUCUUUUAGGGUCUUUUGGGGUCCUAUGGGGUCCUAUGGGGUCUUUGGGGUCUUUUAUGGUCUUAUGGGGUCUUAUGGGGUUGACCAAAAACCCUAUAAGGGAUCCAGGGCCCUUUUGGGGUCUUAUGGGGUUUUUGGGGUCUUAUGGGGUCCUAUGGGGUCAUUUGGGGUCUUAUGGGGUCCUAUGGGGUCUUAUGGGGUCCUAUGGGGCCUUUUGGGAUCUUUUGUGGUCUUUUAGGAUCUUAUGGGGUCUUUUAGGGUCUAUGGGUUCUUAUGGGGUCGUUUGGGGUCUUAUGGGGUCUCUUAGGGUCUUUAGGGUCUUUUCUUUGGGUUCUUAUGGGGUCUUAUGGGGUCUUUUAGAGUCUUUUAGGGUCUUAUGGGGUCUUUGGGGUCUUUUAGGGUCUAUGGGGUCUUAUGGGAUCUGUGGGGUUCUUUUAGGAUCUUAUGGGGUCUUUUAGGGUCCUUUAAGUUCUUAUGGGGUCUUUUAGGAUCUUUGGGGUCGUUUGGGGUCUUAUGGGUUCUCUUAGGGUCUUUAGGGUCUUUCCUUUGGGUUCUUAUGGGGUCUUAUGGGGUCUUUUAGGGUCUAUGGGUUCUUAUGG
Lagopus muta (rock ptarmigan) is the source of this 2261-nucleotide RNA transcript. It is a transcript of the gene named malic enzyme 2, with no coding region annotated. The record is from RefSeq and is a predicted model, not a curated record. The transcript is spliced from 14 exons. NCBI's taxonomy places the organism in Eukaryota, Metazoa, Chordata, Aves, Galliformes, Phasianidae.